Molecule: ribosomal RNA, 266 nt
Filed under: uncultured bacterium
Lineage: Bacteria
Description: partial 16S ribosomal RNA
Rfam family: Bacterial small subunit ribosomal RNA
Source: RNAcentral
GUCCACGCCGUAAACGAUGAUAACUAGCUGUCCGGGCACUUGGUGUUUGGGUGGCGCAGCUAACGCAUUAAGUUAUCCGCCUGGGGAGUACGGUCGCAAAGAUUAAAAACUCAAAAGGAAUUGACGGGGGCCUGCACAAGCGGUGGAGCAUGUGGUUUAAUUCGAAGCAACGCGCAGAACCUUACCAGCGUUUGACAUCCCGCGCUAACCCAAGAGAUUGGGUGUUCCCUUCGGGGACGCGGUGACAGGUGCUGCAUGGCUGUCGU